Long non-coding RNA from Stegodyphus dumicola, 276 nucleotides. The record is from RefSeq and is a predicted model, not a curated record. NCBI's taxonomy places the organism in Eukaryota, Metazoa, Arthropoda, Arachnida, Araneae, Eresidae.
UAAGCCUGUAAAAAUUCGCUAAUUUGCCAUUUUUUUUCUAUUGCAAUUCCUUAAAAUCAUUAUUAAUCGGAAACGUUCUUUGUUGCAGCUUUACCUCUAGGAAUGUUUCAAGAUCCAGUUUUCAACAAUGAUAAACCAAACUACUUGAACUUUGGAGCUCUCGGUUCGUUGAUGGGUCGUGAAUUAAUAUAUGCAUUCAUUGAUAAAGCAAAUUAACAUGAAAAAGAUACAAGAUGAUGUUGUAGCUGUCAGUGGAGGUUUGAGAGCAGCUUAUUG